AGCGAACGCUGGCGGCAGGCCUAAUACAUGCAAGUCGAGCGCACCUUCGGGUGAGCGGCGGACGGGUGAGUAACGCGUGGGAACGUGCCCUUUGGUUCGGAACAACACAGGGAAACUUGUGCUAAUACCGAAUGUGCCCUUCGGGGGAAAGAUUUAUCGCCAUUGGAGCGGCCCGCGCUGGAUUAGCUAGUUGGUGGGGUAAAGGCCCACCAAGGCGACGAUCCAUAGCUGGUCUGAGAGGAUGAUCAGCCACACUGGGACUGAGACACGGCCCAGACUCCUACGGGAGGCAGCAGUAGGGAAUCUUGCGCAAUGGGCGAAAGCCUGACGCAGCCAUGCCGCGUGAAUGAUGAAGGUCUUAGGAUUGUAAAAUUCUUUCACCGGGGAAGAUAAUGACGGUACCCGGAGAAGAAGCCCCGGCUAACUUCGUGCCAGCAGCCGCGGUAAUACGAAGGGGGCUAGCGUUGCUCGGAAUUACUGGGCGUAAAGGGCGCGUAGGCGGACAGUUUAGUCAGAGGUGAAAGCCCAGGGCUCAACCUUGGAACUGCCUUUGAUACUGGCUGUCUUGAGUUCGGGAGAGGUGAGUGGAAUGCCGAGUGUAGAGGUGAAAUUCGUAGAUAUUCGGCGGAACACCAGUGGCGAAGGCGACUCACUGGCCCGAUACUGACGCUGAGGCGCG
Molecule: ribosomal RNA, 679 nt
Filed under: uncultured Alphaproteobacteria bacterium
Lineage: Bacteria; Pseudomonadati; Pseudomonadota; Alphaproteobacteria
Description: bacterial SSU rRNA
Rfam family: Bacterial small subunit ribosomal RNA
Source: RNAcentral